GAUGAACGCGGGCGGCGUGUCUAAUCGUGCAAGUCGAGCGAACAGACGAGGAUGUUGCUCCUCUGACGUUGGCGGAGGACUGAUGAAUAACACGUGGAUCACCUACCUAUAAUGGUGGGAUAACUUCAGGAAACCGGAGCUAAUACCGGAUAAUAUGUUGCACCGGAUGGUUCAAUAGUGAAAGACUGGUUUGCUGUCACUUAUAGAUGGAUCCCCGCCUCAUUAGCUAGGUGGGAAAGGAACUGACUUAGCAAGGCAACGAUGCGUAGACGAGCUGGGGGGGUGAUCCGCCACGCUGGAGAUGAGACACGCUCCACUACUCCUGGGGGAGGCAGCAGGGGAGCAUCUUCCGCGGUGGGCGAAAUGCUGACCGACCCACGCCGCGUGAGUGAUGAAGGCCUACCGAUCCUAAAACUCUGUUAUUAAGAAAGAACGAGUGAGUAAGUAAGUCUGCACGUCUCGACCCUAACAAAUCAGAAAGGCUCAGUUCACGACACGCGACCAGGCAAACGAAUAUGGAGAUGGCAAGCCUGAUCCACAGUUCAUUAUGGGCGUAAGCGCGCGUAGGCGGUUUUUUAGUCUGAUGUGAAAGCCCCUCGCCUGCGCGUGGAGGGUCAUUGGAAACCGGAAAACUUGAGUGCAUUAGAGGAAAGUGGAAUUCCAUGUGUAGCGGUGAAAUGCGCAGAGAUAUGGAGGAACACCAGUGGCGAAGGCGACUUUCUGGUCUGUAACUGACGCUGAUGUGCGAAAGCGUGGGGAUCAAACAGGAUUAGAUACCCUGGUAGUCCACGCCGUAAACGAUGAGUGCUAAGUGUUAGGGGGUUUCCGCCCCUUAGUGCUGCAGCUAACGCAUUAAGCACUCCGCCUGGGGAGUACGACCGCAAGGUUGAAACUCAAAGGAAUUGACGGGGACCCGCACAAGCGGUGGAGCAUGUGGUUUAAUUCGAAGCAACGCGAAGAACCUUACCAAAUCUUGACAUCCUCUGACCCCUCUAGAGAUAGAGUUUUCCCCUUCGGGGGACAGAGUGACAGGUGGUGCAUGGUUGUCGUCAGCUCGUGUCGUGAGAUGUUGGGUUAAGUCCCGCAACGAGCGCAACCCUUAAGCUUAGUUGCCAUCAUUAAGUUGGGCACUCUAAGUUGACUGCCGGUGACAAACCGGAGGAAGGUGGGGAUGACGUCAAAUCAUCAUGCCCCUUAUGAUUUGGGCUACACACGUGCUACAAUGGACAAUACAAAGGGCAGCGAAACCGCGAGGUCAAGCAAAUCCCAUAAAGUUGUUCUCAGUUCGGAUUGUAGUCUGCAACUCGACUAUAUGAAGCUGGAAUCGCUAGUAAUCGUAGAUCAGCAUGCUACGGUGAAUACGUUCCUCGGGUCU
RNAcentral lists this ribosomal RNA (1375 nucleotides) under uncultured bacterium. Its description in RNAcentral is "partial 16S ribosomal RNA". It matches the Rfam family "Bacterial small subunit ribosomal RNA", at positions 28 to 1381 of the family's 1533-position model. The record is from RNAcentral.